CCUACGGGUGGCUGCAGCGAGGAAUCUUGGGCAAUGGGCGAAAGCCUGACCCAGCGACGCCGCGUGAGGGAAGAAGGCCUUCGGGUCGUAAACCUCUUUUGUGAGGGAAGAAGUUCUGACGGUACCUCACGAAUAAGCCACGACUAACUACGUGCCAGCAGCCGCGGUAAUACGUAGGUGGCAAGCGUUGUCCGGAUUUACUGGGCGUAAAGGGCUUGUAGGCGGUUCGUUAAGUCCGGUGUGAAAUCUCCCGGCUCAACUGGGAGGGGCCAUUGGAUACUGGCGGACUAGAGGCGGGUAGAGGAAAGCAGAAUUCCCGGUGUAGCGGUGAAAUGCGUAGAUAUCGGGAGGAAUACCAGUGGCGAAGGCGGCUUUCUGGACCUGUCCUGACGCUGAGGAGCGAAAGCGUGGGGAGCAAACCGGAUUAGAUACCCGGGUAGUCCACGCCCUAAACGGUGGAUGCUAGGUGUGGGGGGUGUCGACCCCCUCCGUGCCGCAGCUAACGCUUUAAGCAUCCCGCCUGGGGAGUACGGCCGCAAGGUUA
RNAcentral lists this ribosomal RNA (544 nucleotides) under uncultured bacterium. RNAcentral describes it as "bacterial SSU rRNA". It matches the Rfam family "Bacterial small subunit ribosomal RNA", at positions 338 to 896 of the family's 1533-position model. The record is from RNAcentral.